AUUGAACGCUGGCGGCAGGCCUAACACAUGCAAGUCGAGCGGAUGAAGGGAGCUUGCUCCUGGAUUCAGCGGCGGACGGGUGAGUAAUGCCUAGGAAUCUGCCUGGUAGUGGGGGAAAACGUCCGGAAACGGGCGCUAAUACCGCAUACGUCCUGAGGGAGAAAGUGGGGGAUCUUCGGACCUCACGCUAUCAGAUGAGCCUAGGUCGGAUUAGCUAGUUGGUGGGGUAAAGGCCUACCAAGGCGACGAUCCGUAACUGGUCUGAGAGGAUGAUCAGUCACACUGGAACUGAGACACGGUCCAGACUCCUACGGGAGGCAGCAGUGGGGAAUAUUGGACAAAGGGCGAAAGCCUGAUCCAGCCAUGCCGCGUGUGUGAAGAAGGUCUUCGGAUUGUAAAGCACUUUAAGUUGGGAGGAAGGGCAGUAAGUUAAUACCUUGCUGUUUUGACGUUACCAACAGAAUAAGCACCGGCUAACUUCGUG
RNAcentral lists this ribosomal RNA (484 nucleotides) under uncultured bacterium. RNAcentral's name for it is "partial 16S ribosomal RNA". It matches the Rfam family "Bacterial small subunit ribosomal RNA", at positions 30 to 507 of the family's 1533-position model. The record is from RNAcentral.